RNAcentral lists this unclassified non-coding RNA (302 nucleotides) under uncultured fungus. RNAcentral describes it as "partial contains small subunit ribosomal RNA, internal transcribed spacer 1, and 5.8S ribosomal RNA". The stretch from base 1 to 73 matches the Rfam family "Eukaryotic small subunit ribosomal RNA", at positions 1759 to 1831 of the family's 1831-position model. Lineage: Eukaryota; Fungi. The record is from RNAcentral.
CCAAACUUGGUCAUUUAGAGGAAGUAAAAGUCGUAACAAGGUCUCCGUUGGUGAACCAGCGGAGGGAUCAUUACUGAGUUUACAGACUCCCAAACCCCAGUGUGAACGCUACCUACAUGUUGCUUCGGCGGGACGCCCCCCGGGGGCACGGCCGCCAGGCCGCCCGGGGACGCAGGCGCCCGCCGGAGGAAACCCAAACUCUUGUCUUCACGCAGUGGCAUCAUUCUGAGUUUACACAAUACAAAUGAAUCAAAACUUUCAACAACGGAUCUCUUGGUUCUGGCAUCGAUGAAGAACGCAGC